Molecule: ribosomal RNA, 358 nt
Filed under: uncultured bacterium
Lineage: Bacteria
Description: bacterial SSU rRNA
Rfam family: Bacterial small subunit ribosomal RNA
Source: RNAcentral
ACCAGACCUUCGGGUCUGGGGACAGCGGCGAACGGGUGAGUAACACGUGGGUAAUCAACCCUCGGUACUGGGAUAGCCCGGGGAAACCCGGAUUAAUACCGGAUGGCCCUUUGGAUCUUCGGAUCUGACGGAAAAGGUAGCUUCGGCCUCCGACCGAGGACGAGCCCGCGGCGGAUUAGCUUGUUGGUGGGGUAACGGCUCACCAAGGCGACGAUCCGUAGCUGGUCUGAGAGGACGAUCAGCCACACUGGGACUGAGACACGGCCCAGACUCCUACGGGAGGCAGCAGUGGGGAAUCUUGCGCUAAUGCGGGAAACCGUGACGCAGCGACGCCGCGUGAGGGAAGAAGGCCUUCGGG